RNAcentral lists this long non-coding RNA (1368 nucleotides) under Sus scrofa (pig). Its description in RNAcentral is "lncRNA (ENSSSCG00060021999.1)". The record is from RNAcentral. Lineage: Eukaryota; Metazoa; Chordata; Mammalia; Artiodactyla; Suidae.
GGCCACACCCACGCAUAUGGAAGUUCUCAGGUUAAGGGUCAAAUCAGAGCUACAGCUCCGAUUCAACCCCUAGCCUGGGAACCUCCAUGUGCUGCGGGAGUGGCCCAAGAAAUGCAAAAAAAUAAAAAAAAAAAGAAAAGAAAAUCUGAUUUCUUGAUACUUAUAAUAGAUCACAAAACUUCUAAGAUUGUUAGCACUCCUUUUUGGUCUUUCUCUCAUUUUCAGACAAAAAUUUUAUAAUUGGGAGAGUUAGAAAGUAAAAAAAAAAACAUGAACUGGAGUUCCCGUCAUGGCUCAGUGGUUAACGAAUCCGAUUAAGAACCAUGAGGUUGCAGGUUCUAUCCCUGGCCUUGCUCAGUGGGUUAAGGAUCCAGCGUUGCCCGUGAGCUGUGGCGUAGGUCACAGACACAGCUUGGAUCUGGCAUUGCUACAGCUCCUAUUCAAUCCCUAGCCUGGGAAAUUCCAUAUGCCGAGGGUACGGCCCUAAAAAGUGAAAAAAGUGAACUAGAAACCUUUCAGAGCAAAUUAGAAAAAAUCAAAAUGUAUUUAAGGAAAACAGGUUUCAUGUUAACAUUGUGAGCUGUAGUUCCCAUUGUGGCACAUUGGGUUAAGGUCCGGUGUUGCUGCAGCUGCGUGUCAGAUUCAACCCCUGAUCCAGGAAUUUCCAUAUGCCACGGGUGUGACUGAAAAAAAAACAAAAAUUGCAAGCUAAAUUAAAAAAGAAUGAUCCUGGAGUUCCUGCUGUGGUGCAGCAGGUUAAGGAUCCAAUGGUAUCUCUCUCUGCUCCUGCUUGGGUCACUGCUGAGGCUAGGGUUUGAUUCUCAGCCCAGCACAGUAGGUUAAGGAUCUGGCAUUGCCACAGCUAUGGGUCAGUAGCUAGGAUUUGAUCCCUUGGCCUAGGAACUUCCAUAUGCCGAGGGUGUGGUAAAAAAUAUACACAUGUAUCAUACAACUCAAUGUCAAAAAAACAACCUAAUGAAAAAAAAAUGAGUAGAAGACCUGAAUAGACUCUUCCAAAUAAAACGUACAAAUGGCCAAUAAGCACAUGAAAAUUGCUCUUUUUUUUUGCUUUUUAGGGCCACACCCUGGCGUGUGGAGGUUCCCCAGGCUAGGGGUCUAAUCAGAGCUAUAGCUGCCAGCCUAUGCCACAGCUCAUAGCAAUGCAAGAUCCUUAACGCACUGAGUAAGGCCAGGGAUCAAACCUCCAACUCAUAGUUCCUAGUCAAAUUGUUUCUGCUGUGCCAGGACAGGAACUCUGAAAAUUGCUCAACAUUGCUAAUCACCAGAGAAAUGCAAAUCAAAGCCACAAAGAGCUGUUAGAAUGGCUAGCAUCAAAGGUAACAUAAAAAAUAUCGGCAGAAAUGGUGG